UACGUAGGGUGCGAGCGUUGUCCGGAAUUAUUGGGCGUAAAGAGCUCGUAGGCGGUUUGUUGCGUCUAUCGUGAAAACCUGCAGCUUAACUGUGGGCUUGCGGUGGAUACGGGCAGACUUGAGUUCGGUAGGGGAGACUGGAAUUCCUGGUGUAGCGGUGAAAUGCGCAGAUAUCAGGAGGAACACCCGUGGCGAAGGCGGCUCCCUGGUCCGUCCCCGACGCUGAGGAGCGAAAGCGUGGGGAGCGAACAGG
RNAcentral lists this ribosomal RNA (253 nucleotides) under uncultured bacterium. Its description in RNAcentral is "partial 16S ribosomal RNA". It matches the Rfam family "Bacterial small subunit ribosomal RNA", at positions 524 to 776 of the family's 1533-position model. The record is from RNAcentral.